CAGCAGCCGCGGUAAUACGAAGGUCCCGAGCGUUGUUCGGAAUCACUGGGCGUAAAGGGAGCGUAGGCGGCGUGGUAAGUCAGAUGUGAAAUCCCGGGGCUCAACCCCGGAACUGCAUCCGAUACUGCCAUGCUAGAGGAUUGGAGAGGUAGCUGGAAUUCUUGGUGUAGCAGUGAAAUGCGUGGAGAUCAAGAGGAACACUCGUGGCGAAAGCGAGCUACUGGACAAUAACUGACGCUGAGGCUCGAAGGCCAGGGUAGCGAAAGGGAUUAGAUACCCGAGUAGUCCCUGUCUCUUAUAC
Molecule: ribosomal RNA, 301 nt
Filed under: uncultured bacterium
Lineage: Bacteria
Description: partial 16S ribosomal RNA
Rfam family: Bacterial small subunit ribosomal RNA
Source: RNAcentral